CAGCUCCUAAACUCCUUGGAAUUUCCUAAGUGGAAACAAUGGAAACAUCUUUUAUUAUAACAUUUGGUCUCUUGUCCUCAGUUCCUGAAAUCAAGCCACUUCAAAGCUGUAAAGAAUACUGAGGCAAUGUUAAAUAAGAAUGGUGAUAAACACGUUUUGAAUCUCAGAGGACUCUUAACUUACUGAAGAACUUACUGAAGAACUGAGGAACUUGCUGAAGGUAAUUUCUUGGCAUAAAUGAGUAAAGGAGCUGUUCUGGGGGAGA
This is a long non-coding RNA of Hyaena hyaena (striped hyena), 265 nucleotides long. RefSeq lists it as uncharacterized. The record is from RefSeq and is a predicted model, not a curated record. The transcript has 3 exons. Lineage: Eukaryota; Metazoa; Chordata; Mammalia; Carnivora; Hyaenidae.